AAUUAUGUACGAAUUAUUAAAAAAAAUGAAAGAAUAAUAGUAAAGUGAUUCAUUUAACCAAAAUGCUAAACACAAGAAAGAUCAAAUGUUGGCAUUUUCCAUGAAAUAGUAAAUGUUAUACAUUUGACUCAUGCUUUUUUUUUUUUUUACAAGUCUUGAUUCACUAAUUCUAAAGGCUUUGUGAACCCAAACACUAAUCAUAGAGUCCAAAAUAACUAGGUUAAAUAGUUCGAAUUCGGGUGACUAAUGCUACUCGAACCCAUAUGACGAGAAUUAUUUCACUUUAUCAUUGGACCAAGAUUACUUUGGUUGUUUAAUGAAAAC
Molecule: long non-coding RNA, 324 nt
Filed under: Capsella rubella
Lineage: Eukaryota; Viridiplantae; Streptophyta; Magnoliopsida; Brassicales; Brassicaceae
Description: long non-coding RNA (CRUB_LNC002331)
Source: RNAcentral